Molecule: ribosomal RNA, 678 nt
Filed under: uncultured Gammaproteobacteria bacterium
Lineage: Bacteria; Pseudomonadati; Pseudomonadota; Gammaproteobacteria
Description: bacterial SSU rRNA
Rfam family: Bacterial small subunit ribosomal RNA
Source: RNAcentral
AGAUUGAACGCUGGCGGCAGGCCUAACACAUGCAAGUCGGACGGCAGCACGGGCUUCGGCCUGGUGGCGAGUGGCGGACGGGUGAGUAGCGCUUGGGAAUCUGCCUGGCAUUGGGGGAUAACUCGGGGAAACUCGAGCUAAUACCGCAUACACCCCGAGGGGGAAAGCAGGGGACCUGCUUGCAGGCCUUGCGAUGCUGGAUGAGCCCAAGCCGGAUUAGCUGGUUGGUGGGGUAAAGGCCUACCAAGGCGACGAUCCGUAGCUGGUCUGAGAGGAUGAUCAGCCACACUGGGACUGAGACACGGCCCAGACUCCUACGGGAGGCAGCAGUGGGGAAUAUUGGACAAUGGGGGCAACCCUGAUCCAGCCAUGCCGCGUGUGUGAAGAAGGUCUUAGGAUUGUAAAGCACUUUAAGUCAGGAGGAAGUGCCGCUGGCGAAUACUUGGCGACAUUGACGUUACUGACAGAAUAAGCACCGGCUAACUUCGUGCCAGCAGCCGCGGUAAUACGAAGGGUGCGAGCGUUAAUCGGAAUUACUGGGCGUAAAGCGCGCGCAGGCGGUUCGAUAAGAAGGAUGUGAAAUCCCCGGGCUCAACCUGGGCACUGCAUUUUUAACUGUCGGGCUAGAGUACGGUAGAGGGUGGUGGAAUUUCCCGUGUAGCGGUGAAAUGCGUAGAU